RNAcentral lists this ribosomal RNA (472 nucleotides) under uncultured bacterium. RNAcentral's name for it is "bacterial SSU rRNA". It matches the Rfam family "Bacterial small subunit ribosomal RNA", at positions 355 to 825 of the family's 1533-position model. The record is from RNAcentral.
UGGGGAAUUUUGGACAAUGGGCGCAAGCCUGAUCCAGCCAUGCCGCGUGUGGGAAGAAGGCCUUCGGGUUGUAAAGCUCUUUUGUCAGGGAAGAAACGGUAGUAGCGAAUAACUACUACUAAUGACGGUACCUGAAGAAUAAGCACCGGCUAACUACGUGCCAGCAGCCGCGGUAAUACGUAGGGUGCAAGCGUUAAUCGGAAUUACUGGGCGUAAAGCGUGCGCAGGCGGUUGUGUAAGUCAGAUGUGAAAUCCCCGGGCUCAACCUGGGAAUUGCAUUUGAGACUGCACGGCUAGAGUGUGUCAGAGGGGGGUAGAAUUCCACGUGUAGCAGUGAAAUGCGUAGAUAUGUGGAGGAAUACCGAUGGCGAAGGCAGCCCCCUGGGAUAACACUGACGCUCAUGCACGAAAGCGUGGGGAGCAAACAGGAUUAGAUACCCCGGUAGUCCCUGAGCGGGCUGGCAAGGCGCAU